This 397-nucleotide ribosomal RNA is filed under the name uncultured bacterium. Its description in RNAcentral is "partial 16S ribosomal RNA". It matches the Rfam family "Bacterial small subunit ribosomal RNA", at positions 523 to 918 of the family's 1533-position model. The record is from RNAcentral.
AUACGUAGGGGGCGAGCGUUGUCCGGAAUGAUUGGGCGUAAAGGGCGCGUAGGCGGCCCGGUAAGUCUGGAGUGAAAGUCCUGCUUUUAAGGUGGGAAUUGCUUUGGAUACUGUCGGGCUUGAGUGCAGGAGAGGUAAGUGGAAUUCCCAGUGUAGCGGUGAAAUGCGUAGAGAUUGGGAGGAACACCAGUGGCGAAGGCGACUUACUGGACUGUAACUGACGCUGAGACGCGAAAGUGUGGGGAGCAAACAGGAUUAGAUACCCUGGUAGUCCACACUGUAAACGAUGAAUGCUAGGUGUAGGGGGUAUCGACCCCUUCUGUGCCGCAGUUAACACAAUAAGCAUUCCGCCUGGGGAGUACGGCCGCAAGGUUGAAACUCAAAUGAAUUGACGGGG